Protopterus annectens (West African lungfish) is the source of this 238-nucleotide long non-coding RNA. RefSeq lists it as uncharacterized. The record is from RefSeq and is a predicted model, not a curated record. The transcript has 2 exons. NCBI's taxonomy places the organism in Eukaryota, Metazoa, Chordata, Ceratodontiformes, Protopteridae.
GUUAUUGGCACCAUAGAAGCAAAAGAUUUUGAAAGAUACUGUUGUCAGCUACAGACUGCAUGGAGUGUAUAUACAAAAGAAACCAAAGAAAUUUCUACAAAAUCCAGGAAAUGUACAAAAGAAAGGGUGCCAUUCUAAAAAAGGGAGUGAUAGGCUUUUACGCUACUUGGAAGAAAUACUGGUUGUUUUUUCACUGGAAAGGAAAAAGCUGUGGGAUUUUCUUAGACGAGACUGUAAG